This 497-nucleotide ribosomal RNA is filed under the name uncultured bacterium. Its description in RNAcentral is "partial 16S ribosomal RNA". It matches the Rfam family "Bacterial small subunit ribosomal RNA", at positions 28 to 507 of the family's 1533-position model. The record is from RNAcentral.
GAUGAACGCUGGCGGCGUGCCUAAUACAUGCAAGUCGAGCGAACAGACUAGGAGCUUGCUCCUCUGACGUUAGCGGCGGCCGGGUUAGUAACACGUUGAUAACUUACCUUUACGACUGGGAUAACUUCGUGAAACCGGAGCUAAUAUCAGAUAAUAUAUUUAACCGUAUGAUUCAAUAGUUAAAGACGGUUUUGCUUGCACUUAUUUAUGGAUCCGCGCCGGAUUAGAUAGUUCGUAAGGUCACGGCUUACCAAGGCAACGAUGCGUAUCCGACCUGAGAGGGUGAUCGGCCACACUGGAACUGAGACAAGGUCCAGACUCCUACGGGAGGCAGCAGUAGGGAAACGUACGCAAGGGGCGAAAGCCUGACGGAGCAAAGCCGCGUGAGGGAUGAAGGGAUUGGGAUAGGAAAACUCUGUUAUUAGGGAAGAACAAAUGUGUAAGUAACUAGGCACGUGUUGACGGUACCUUAUCAGAAAGCAACGGCUAACUACGUG